This 292-nucleotide ribosomal RNA is filed under the name uncultured bacterium. RNAcentral's name for it is "partial 16S ribosomal RNA". It matches the Rfam family "Bacterial small subunit ribosomal RNA", at positions 505 to 796 of the family's 1533-position model. The record is from RNAcentral.
GUGCCAGCCGCCGCGGUAAUACAGAGGGGGCAAGCGUUAUUCGGAAUUAUUGGGCGUAAAGGGCGCGUAGGCGGCCUUGCAAGUGACGGGUGAAAUCCCUCGGCUUAACCGAGGAACUGCCUGUCAAACUGCGAGGCUUGAGACCGGGAGAGGUGAGUGGAAUUCCCAGUGUAGCGGUGAAAUGCGUAGAUAUUGGGAGGAACACCAGUGGCGAAGGCGGCUCACUGGACCGGUACUGACGCUGAGGCGCGAAAGCGUGGGGAGCAAACAGGAUUAGAAACCCUUGUAGUCC